CGUAGGGUGCGAGCGUUGUCCGGAAUUAUUGGGCGUAAAGAGCUCGUAGGCGGUGUGUCGCGUCGGCGUGAAAACUUUCAGCUUAACUGGGAGCUUGCGGUCGAUACGGGCAUCACUGGAGUUCGGCAGGGGAGACUGGAAUUCCUGGUGUAGCGGUGAAAUGCGCAGAUAUCAGGAGGAACACCGGUGGCGAAGGCGGGUCUCUGGGCCGAUACUGACGCUGAGGAGCGAAAGCGUGGGGAGCGAACAGGAUUAGAUACCCUGGUAGUCCACGCCGUAAACGGUGGGCGCUAGGUGUGGGGGCCAUUCCACGGUCUCUGUGCCGCAGCUAACGCAUUAAGCGCCCCGCCUGGGGAGUACGGCCGCAACGGCU
This 373-nucleotide ribosomal RNA is filed under the name uncultured organism. RNAcentral describes it as "bacterial SSU rRNA". It matches the Rfam family "Bacterial small subunit ribosomal RNA", at positions 526 to 895 of the family's 1533-position model. The record is from RNAcentral.